Molecule: ribosomal RNA, 253 nt
Filed under: uncultured bacterium
Lineage: Bacteria
Description: partial 16S ribosomal RNA
Rfam family: Bacterial small subunit ribosomal RNA
Source: RNAcentral
UACAGAGGGUGCGAGCGUUGUUCGGAUUUAUUGGGCGUAAAGAGCGUGUAGGCGGCCAUUCAGGUCAGCUGUGAAAACUCGAGGCUCAACCUCGAGACGUCGGUUGAAACCGUUUGGCUAGAGUCCGGAAGAGGAGAGUGGAAUUCCCGGUGUAGCGGUGAAAUGCGCAGAUAUCGGGAAGAACACCCGUGGCGAAGGCGGCCCUCUGGGACGGUACUGACGCUGAGACGCGAAAGCGUGGGGAGCGAACAGG